This is a long non-coding RNA of Mesocricetus auratus (golden hamster), 570 nucleotides long. RefSeq lists it as uncharacterized. Lineage: Eukaryota; Metazoa; Chordata; Mammalia; Rodentia; Cricetidae. The record is from RefSeq and is a predicted model, not a curated record. The transcript has 3 exons.
GGUGACUUCAAGGCAGUCCCAAGAGACAGAGAGCAAGGGAGCCAGGGGAACUGGGUACCAGGACACACAGCGAACACCUGCCCUGGCCGGAGGAGGAAGUUAACCCCAGACAAUGAGAGGCACGUUUGAGAAGGAGGAACCAGAUUGAAGGACUUUACAGGAGAGCUGGUACACAAGGGCCUUCAUCAAGCUGCUGUCUCCCCUGGAGGAAGACCUUAGGGCCCUUUCCAGAGUGGAGGAGGGUUUUGUCACAGCAGUGAGGAAGUAAGCCAUGCAGUUUCCAUCUGCAGCUGUCGCUGUGAUCCUGUUUGAGCUGGCCGCUUUGUGUCUCUCCGUACUGUGACUGGCUCACACCACAUCCGGUUUCGUGUCUGGAUUAUACGCUGUCCCUCCUAUGAGCUCCUGCGUGCAUAGGGUCUGGGUGUGGAUGCCUUUGCCCCUUAAGAACUGGACCCUGGGCUUGGUGCGGGCAGCCACACUCCUUCCAGGAUGCCUUCCUCUUUGGCUGUGGAGUGGCUAAAAUAAAUGCAGCUCAGAGGAGGCUCGGGGGUAGUUUUUUUUUUUUUUAAU